Molecule: ribosomal RNA, 565 nt
Filed under: Hanseniaspora uvarum
Lineage: Eukaryota; Fungi; Ascomycota; Saccharomycetes; Saccharomycodales; Saccharomycodaceae
Description: eukaryotic LSU rRNA
Rfam family: Eukaryotic large subunit ribosomal RNA
Source: RNAcentral
CUUAGUACGGCGAGUGAAGCGGUAAAAGCUCAAAUUUGAAAUCUGGUACUUUCAGUGCCCGAGUUGUAAUUUGUAGAAUUUGUCUUUGAUUAGGUCCUUGUCUAUGUUCCUUGGAACAGGACGUCAUAGAGGGUGAGAAUCCCGUUUGGCGAGGAUACCUUUUCUCUGUAAGACUUUUUCGAAGAGUCGAGUUGUUUGGGAAUGCAGCUCAAAGUGGGUGGUAAAUUCCAUCUAAAGCUAAAUAUUGGCGAGAGACCGAUAGCGAACAAGUACAGUGAUGGAAAGAUGAAAAGAACUUUGAAAAGAGAGUGAAAAAGUACGUGAAAUUGUUGAAAGGGAAGGGCAUUUGAUCAGACAUGGUGUUUUUUGCAUGCACUCGCCUCUCGUGGGCUUGGGCCUCUCAAAAAUUUCACUGGGCCAACAUCAAUUCUGGCAGCAGGAUAAAUCAUUAAGAAUGUAGCUACUUCGGUAGUGUUAUAGCUUUUUGGAAUACUGUUAGCCGGGAUUGAGGACUGCGCUUCGGCAAGGAUGUUGGCAUAAUGGUUAAAUGCCGCCCGUCUUGAAC